Molecule: ribosomal RNA, 650 nt
Filed under: uncultured bacterium
Lineage: Bacteria
Description: bacterial SSU rRNA
Rfam family: Bacterial small subunit ribosomal RNA
Source: RNAcentral
CAAGUCGAACGGGAAAGGACUCUUCGGAGUCCGAGUAGAGUGGCGAACGGGUGAGUAACGCGUGGGUGAUCUACCCUUGGGCGGGGGAUAACCCGGGGAAACUCGGGCUAAUACCGCAUAAGCCUGGGAUUGUAAGGGAUUUCAGGGAAAGUUUCCGGAUGCCGAAGGAGGAGCCCGCGUCCGAUUAGCUAGUUGGUGAGGUAAGAGCUCACCAAGGCGACGAUCGGUAGCCGGUCUGAGAGGACGGACGGUCACACUGGGACUGAGACACGGCCCAGACUCCUACGGGAGGCAGCAGUGGGGAAUUUUGGGCAAUGGGCGAAAGCCUGACCCAGCAACGCCGCGUGGAGGAUGAAGGUUUUCGGAUCGUAAACUCCUGUCUAGAGGGACGAAGGAAGUGACGGUACCUCUGGAGGAAGCCCCGGCUAACUCCGUGCCAGCAGCCGCGGUAAUACGGGGGGGGCAAGCGUUGUUCGGAAUUACUGGGCGUAAAGGGCGCGUAGGCGGUUUCGGAAGUCAUGGGUGAAAGUCCUCGGCUCAACCGAGGGAUUGCCUGUGAAACCACGGGACUGGAGUGCUGGAGAGGGAAGCGGAAUUCCCAGUGUAGCGGUGAAAUGCGUAGAUAUUGGGAGGAACAUCUGUGGCGAAGG